AACGCACCUUGCACCCUUUGGUAUUCCGAAGGGUACACCCGUUUGAGUGUCAUUGUAAUCUCACUUCAAUAACUUUUGUUGUUGAAUGUGGACUUGGAUGUUGUCGUGAUCUACGACUCAUCUUAAAUGCCUGAGUGUACCCUGCUUUGCAGCGUAUCAGUGUGAUAAACAUCUUCACUGUUAAGUCUUUUGAGACACGCUUGUGUUGUGGGCUCUAUGCUUCUAACUGUCUUUGGACAAUCUCUGACAAUUUGACCUCAAAUCGGGUGGGACUACCCGCUGAACUUAA
This 289-nucleotide unclassified non-coding RNA is filed under the name uncultured Sebacinales. Its description in RNAcentral is "sequence contains ITS2". Lineage: Eukaryota; Fungi; Basidiomycota; Agaricomycetes; Sebacinales. The record is from RNAcentral.